RNAcentral lists this ribosomal RNA (382 nucleotides) under uncultured bacterium. RNAcentral describes it as "bacterial SSU rRNA". It matches the Rfam family "Bacterial small subunit ribosomal RNA", at positions 29 to 438 of the family's 1533-position model. The record is from RNAcentral.
AACGAACGCUGGCGGCAGGCCUAACACAUGCAAGUCGAACGCCGUAGCAAUACGGAGUGGCAGACGGGUGAGUAACACGUGGGAACGUACCCUUCGGUUCGGGAUAACUCAGGGAAACUUGAGCUAAUACCGGAUACGUCCGAGAGGAGAAAGAUUUAUCGCCGAGGGAUCGGCCCGCGUCUGAUUAGCUUGUUGGUGAGGUAACGGCUCACCAAGGCGACGAUCAGUAGCUGGUCNGAGAGGAUGAUCAGCCACAUUGGGACUGAGACACGGCCCAAACUCCUACGGGAGGCAGCAGUGGGGAAUAUUGGACAAUGGGCGCAAGCCUGAUCCAGCCAUGCCGCGUGAGUGAUGAAGGCCCUAGGGUUGUAAAGCUCUUUUA